This 252-nucleotide ribosomal RNA is filed under the name uncultured bacterium. RNAcentral describes it as "partial 16S ribosomal RNA". It matches the Rfam family "Bacterial small subunit ribosomal RNA", at positions 524 to 776 of the family's 1533-position model. The record is from RNAcentral. RNAcentral also lists the same sequence under 1 other name.
UACAGAGGUCCCAAGCGUUGUUCGGAUUUACUGGGCGUAAAGGGUGCGUAGGUGGCGGGGUAAGUCUGGUGUGAAAGCUCCGAGCUCAACUCGGAAAAGCAUUGGAAACUAUCCCGCUGGAGGGUCGGAGGGGAGACUGGAAUUCUCGGUGUAGCAGUGAAAUGCGUAGAUAUCGAGAGGAACACCAGUGGCGAAGGCGAGUCUCUGGACGACUCCUGACACUGAGGCACGAAAGCUAGGGGAGCAAACAGG